Molecule: ribosomal RNA, 437 nt
Filed under: uncultured Oscillospiraceae bacterium
Lineage: Bacteria; Bacillati; Bacillota; Clostridia; Eubacteriales; Oscillospiraceae
Description: partial 16S ribosomal RNA
Rfam family: Bacterial small subunit ribosomal RNA
Source: RNAcentral
ACGGAAGGCAGCAGUGGGGAAUAUUGGGCAAUGGGCGAAAGCCUGACCCAGCGACGCCGCGUGAAGGAAGAAGGCUUUCGGGUUGUAAACUUCAGUCAACAGGGAAGAAGAAAGUGACGGUACCUGUGGAGGAAGCCACGGCUAACUACGUGCCAGCAGCCGCGGUAAUACGUAGGUGGCGAGCGUUAUCCGGAUUUACUGGGUGUAAAGGGUGUGUAGGCGGGAUCGCAAGUCAGAUGUGAAAAUUAUGGGCUUAACUCAUAACCUGCAUUUGAAACUGCGAUUCUUGAGUAUCGGAGAGGUAAACGGAAUUCCCAGUGUAGCGGUGAAAUGCGUAGAUAUUGGGAGGAACACCAGUGGCGAAGGCGGUUUACUGGACGACAACUGGCGCUGAGACACGAAAGCGUGGGGAGCAAACAGGAUUAGAUACCCUGGUA